This 55-nucleotide ribosomal RNA is filed under the name Oxera rugosa. RNAcentral describes it as "partial 26S ribosomal RNA". The record is from RNAcentral. Lineage: Eukaryota; Viridiplantae; Streptophyta; Magnoliopsida; Lamiales; Lamiaceae.
GCCGCCGUCAGGGAAAUCGAAGGCCCAACGGCGCAUGAGAGCAUCGCGCCUCCGA